GAUGAACGCUGGCGGCGUGCCUAAUACAUGCAAGUCGAGCGAACAGACGAGGAGCUUGCUCCUCUGACGUUAGCGGCGGACGGGGGAGUAACACGUGGAUAACCUACCUAUAAGACUGGGAUAACUUCGGGAAACCGGAGCUAAUACCGGAUAAUAUAUUGAACCGCAUGGUUCAAUAAUUAAAGACGGUUUUGCUGUCACUUAUAGAUGGAUCCGCGCCGCAUUAGCUAGUUGGUAAGGUAACGGCUUACCAAGGCAACGAUGCGUAGCCGACCUGAGAGGGUGAUCGGCCACACUGGAACUGAGACACGGUCCAGACUCCUACGGGAGGCAGCAGUAGGGAAUCUUCCGCAAUGGGCGAAAGCCUGACGGAGCAACGCCGCGUGAGUGAUGAAGGUCUUCGGAUCGUAAAACUCUGUUAUUAGGGAAGAACAAAUGUGUAAGUAACUAUGCACGUCUUGACGGUACCUAAUCAGAAAGCCACGGCUAACUACGUG
RNAcentral lists this ribosomal RNA (497 nucleotides) under uncultured bacterium. RNAcentral's name for it is "partial 16S ribosomal RNA". It matches the Rfam family "Bacterial small subunit ribosomal RNA", at positions 28 to 507 of the family's 1533-position model. The record is from RNAcentral.